GACGAACGCUGGCGGCGUGCUUAACACAUGCAAGUCGAACGGAAAGGCCCUGCUUUUGUGGGGUGCUCGAGUGGCGAACGGGUGAGUAACACGUGAGUAACCUGCCCUUGACUUUGGGAUAAAUUCAGGAAACUGGGGCUAAUACCGGAUAGGAGCUCCUGCUGCAUGGUGGGGGUUGGAAAGUUUCGGCGGUUGGGGAUGGACUCGAGGCUUAUCAGCUUGUUGGUGGGGUAGUGGCUUACCAAGGCUUUGAAGGGUAGCCGGCCUGAGAGGGUGACCGGCCACAUUGGGACUGAGGUACGGCGCAGACUCCUACGGGAGGCAGCAGUCGGGAAUAUUGCACAAUGGGCGGAAGCCUGAUGCAGCAACGCCGCGUGCGGGAUGACGGCCUUCGGGUUGUAAACCGCUUUCGCCUGUGACGAAGCGUGAGUGACGGUAAUGGGUAAAGAAGCACCGGCUAACUACGUG
RNAcentral lists this ribosomal RNA (468 nucleotides) under uncultured bacterium. RNAcentral's name for it is "partial 16S ribosomal RNA". It matches the Rfam family "Bacterial small subunit ribosomal RNA", at positions 28 to 507 of the family's 1533-position model. The record is from RNAcentral.